UACGUAGGGGGCUAGCGUUGUCCGGAUUUAUUGGGCGUAAAGAGCGUGUAGGCGGCCUGAAAGGUCAGCUGUGAAAACUCGAGGCUCAACCUCGAGACGUCGGUUGAAACCAUCUGGCUAGAGUCCGGAAGAGGAGUGUGGAAUUCCCGGUGUAGCGGUGAAAUGCGCAGAUAUCGGGAAGAACACCCGUGGCGAAGGCGGCACUCUGGGACGGUACUGACGCUGAGACGCGAAAGCGUGGGGAGCGAACAGG
Molecule: ribosomal RNA, 253 nt
Filed under: uncultured bacterium
Lineage: Bacteria
Description: partial 16S ribosomal RNA
Rfam family: Bacterial small subunit ribosomal RNA
Source: RNAcentral